ACGGAGGUUGCAAGUGUUAUCCGGAAUCACUGGGCGUAAAGCGUCUGUAGGUGGUCAAAUAAGUCAACUGUUAAAUCUUGAGGCUCAACCUCAAAAUCGCAGUCGAAACUAUUAGACUAGAGUAUAGUAGGGGUAAAGGGAAUUUCCAGUGGAGCGGUGAAAUGCGUAGAGAUUGGAAAGAACACCGAUGGCGAAGGCACUUUACUGGGCUAUUACUAACACUCAGAGACGAA
RNAcentral lists this ribosomal RNA (233 nucleotides) under uncultured bacterium. Its description in RNAcentral is "partial 16S ribosomal RNA". It matches the Rfam family "Bacterial small subunit ribosomal RNA", at positions 525 to 757 of the family's 1533-position model. The record is from RNAcentral.